Molecule: non-coding RNA, 577 nt
Organism: Oryctolagus cuniculus (rabbit)
Lineage: Eukaryota; Metazoa; Chordata; Mammalia; Lagomorpha; Leporidae
Source: RefSeq, a predicted model, not a curated record
CACCAGUCCCAGCAAAACACCAGAUCCUGGGGAGGGCCCCUCUGGUGCUGCCAUACUAUCCACUGGGGGGUAGGGGAUGGGGGGUGGAUUGGUCUCAGGGGACACAGUCAGGGAGUAGGGCUCCAUUUCACAUGAAAGGCAAGAGGAAAUCCAGCUGGCCUGCUGCACCAGCCGAGAAGCUGAUCACCAUCAAGGCCCUGGACCUUCCCCUCAGUCACACCAGAGCGGGAAGGUGUGAAUUUAGGACGCUGUUUAUCUGACUUGGCCCAUACUGGGGCAGUACUUCAUUUUGUGGUCGACUGAACCAAGGCACUAUUGGCAUCAGGAUACUGUGGAAGUGAUCAAGACAGAAAGAAGGUGCCCUCCUAACACCAGAGCCCUCUGAACAGGACUCGACCAGACACCCCGGCGGUUUCCCAUUGAGAAAAUAAGUAAUACGCUGAAAUAGCUGCUUUGGGUGGCACACCCAGAGCUGUAUUGCAGUGAAAGCCACUGACUCCUUGUGUACCCCGAAGGUGCAUCUAAACAAGAGGGGAAGUGACAGGUGGAGGCAGCGGUGUUUGUACUCUGAACAGGU